UGCCCACUGUGGAAGUUUCACCUGAGCUUCUCACCUGGCCCUCGAGGCCCUUCAGGACUUCUCAGUAGAGACACGCUUUGCAGGAUACUGCCAACAGGGCGAAGCCUCUUGGGAGUCCGUACCUCCAGGCAGCACCAGAGGCUGAGCCUCCCUGACCACCAGCAGCCGGCAGUACUCUGUGAUCAGAUACCAGGGGCACCUCUGCAGAGGUGGAGCCCAUUGCCCCAGAGAAACUCCACCAGCCUGCCCAAUCUGGCCACCGCCUGCCUUGGUCCUCAGGACCUACACACUGCCAGUUUCUCUGCUUUGGCGAGAUUGAUCCCCCACAUCUGCCCAUGUGGCUUUUCUCCUAUUCAGAGUUGCCUCCUCAGAGAGGCCUUCCCUGUACACCCCACCUAAAAUAGGUGCACAUGUGCACAUGUGCGUGCGCGCGCGCGCGCGCACACACACACACAGUCUCUCUCUAUGCACAAUUACAUUUGCACAAUCUCCCCUCUGUUUCCUUACCUCCUCUCUGCUCUAGAAUGUAAGUUCCAUGAGAACGAUGCUUUAUUUUCUGCUGUAUCCUCAGUGUCUACAGAUACAUCUUUAUAAAUAUUUGUUGACUGAGUAAAAUAGAGGCCACUGUUGUAUGUCAUUUUACCACAUUUAUCACAAAUGCAAAGAAGCAGUGAAAGACUUGUCAGCAACAAGGCCACACUGCAUACCAAACGCCAUCACCUCCUUGUUGAGUCACAGUGAUCACUUCUGUGUGACAGAUGGUCACACCGAAAGACACAGGGUACCACAGACCGUCCUGAACAUAAUCCCCGUGUCUCCACUUCAGGGCAGUGCCCACGUGGGCUACCCUGCGCAGGCCCUGCAUCUCCUUUGCUUUCCAGUUGUUCUGCCUUCUCAAGGCCAG
RNAcentral lists this long non-coding RNA (904 nucleotides) under Marmota monax (woodchuck). The record is from RNAcentral. Lineage: Eukaryota; Metazoa; Chordata; Mammalia; Rodentia; Sciuridae.